Dendroctonus ponderosae (mountain pine beetle) is the source of this 715-nucleotide long non-coding RNA. RefSeq lists it as uncharacterized. The record is from RefSeq and is a predicted model, not a curated record. Lineage: Eukaryota; Metazoa; Arthropoda; Insecta; Coleoptera; Curculionidae. The transcript is spliced from 3 exons.
AGAAAGUAUGCAGAAACUGAUCCAAAUAUUCUGGAUGCCGUCCAGAAAUAAAUCCGUUAAAACCGAGUGCUUGCAGUGCGGUGAAAUCAAAUUUCGAGUGGUGACCAUUCAAACAAGUCGGCUCCUAAUUCGGUCGCAUUAGCUCUAAAGGAAAAUGCUCACCUACCUAAGAAACCCGAUCACCCAGGGCAGGGAAUGGUCGUUUUGGCCCGAUGCGAAGUUUUACUACCACUACAAAAUCUAUCGACCCCUUAGCUUUUACGUGGAUUGGCCAUUCACAGCAAGGGAGAGAUUUCCACAAUAUUGGCCCUCAAAUAGAUCCUACCGGUACUAUUGGGAUGAUUUCCCAUCUGAGGCGGCCUUCAGGGAAAUUCGGCUGAAAAAUGAUCUCUACUUCGACCGAUAAACUCAACCAACAGACGAACAUGUUCCAGCCAGAAUACUGCACCGAAGAGUCCAGAUUUUCAACAACUAACGUUUAAUCAUAUUUCUGUUAUUUUCAUUAUACAGUUUUUACUAUUUAUAUAACAAAACUAAUACAGCUGCACGCGGAUUGGACUAGAUUUUCUCAAAUGCAUGUACUUCGGUUGCGGUUAUGGAAAAGUGAUAUUUACAUGUUAGGUAUAAGGAAAAAUCAUAUAUUUUUGUAAAUAUUUAUGUACAUAUAUAUAUAUUUGAAUCAACUGCAAGCCAAAUAAAAUGACUAAAGCACUUU